This 468-nucleotide ribosomal RNA is filed under the name uncultured bacterium. RNAcentral describes it as "partial 16S ribosomal RNA". It matches the Rfam family "Bacterial small subunit ribosomal RNA", at positions 28 to 507 of the family's 1533-position model. The record is from RNAcentral.
GACGAACGCUGGCGGCGUGCUUAACACAUGCAAGUCGAACGGAAAGGCCCUGCUUUUGUGGGGUGCUCGAGUGGCGAACGGGUGAGUAACACGUGAGUAACCUGUCCUUGACUUUGGGAUAACUUCAGGAAACUGGGGCUAAUACCGGAUAGGAGCUCCUGCUGCAUGGUGGGGGUUGGAAAGUUUCGGCGGUUGGGGAUGGACUCGCGGCUUAUCAGCUUGUUGGUGGGGUAGUGGCUUACCAAGGCUUGGACGGGUAGCCGGCCUGAGAGGGUGACCGGCCAAAUUGGGACGGAGAUACGGCCCAGACUACUACGGGACGCAGCGGUGGGGAAUAUUGUACAAUGGGAGGAAGCCUGAUGCAGCAAAGCCGCGUGCGGGAAGACGGCCUUCGGGUUGUAAACCGCAUUCGCCUGUGACGAAGCGUGAGUGACGGUAAUGGGUAAAGAAGCACCGGCUAACUACGUG